RNAcentral lists this ribosomal RNA (429 nucleotides) under uncultured bacterium. Its description in RNAcentral is "bacterial SSU rRNA". It matches the Rfam family "Bacterial small subunit ribosomal RNA", at positions 355 to 776 of the family's 1533-position model. The record is from RNAcentral.
UGGGGAAUAUUGCACAAUGGGCGCAAGCCUGAUGCAGCCAUGCCGCGUGUAUGAAGAAGGCCUUCGGGUUGUAAAGUACUUUCAGCAGUGAGGAAGGCGGGUGUGUUAAUAGCACAUUCGUUUGACGUUAGCUGCAGAAGAAGCACCGGCUAACUCCGUGCCAGCAGCCGCGGUAAUACGGAGGGUGCGAGCGUUAAUCGGAAUUACUGGGCGUAAAGCGCAUGCAGGUGGUUUGUUAAGUCAGAUGUGAAAGCCCGGGGCUCAACCUCGGAAUUGCAUUUGAAACUGGCAGACUAGAGUACUGUAGAGGGGGGUAGAAUUUCAGGUGUAGCGGUGAAAUGCGUAGAGAUCUGAAGGAAUACCGGUGGCGAAGGCGGCCCCCUGGACAGAUACUGACACUCAGAUGCGAAAGCGUGGGGAGCAAACAGG